AACGCGAAGAACCUUACCUGGGUUUGACAUGCAUCGCUUAGCCGGUGAAAGCCGGUGAGCCGGGGUAACCCGGCGCUCUGCACAGGUGCUGCAUGGCUGUCGUCAGCUCGUGUCGUGAGAUGUUGGGUUAGGUCCCGCAACGAGCGCAACCCCUGCGUCCAGUUGCCAGCGGGAAAGCCGGGGACUCUGGACGGACUGCCCAGAUCAACUGGGAGGAAGGUGGGGACGACGUCAAGUCAGUAUGGCCCUUAUGCCCAGGGCUGCACACGUACUACAAUGCCCAGCACAAUGUGAACCGAACCUGCGAGGGGGAGGAAAUCUGUGAAAACUGGGCUCAGUUCGGAUUGCAGGCUGCAACCCGCCUGCAUGAAGCUGGAAUCGCUAGUAAUGGCGCAUCAGCUACGGCGCCGUGAAUACGUUCCCGGGUCUUGUACACACGC
RNAcentral lists this ribosomal RNA (440 nucleotides) under uncultured bacterium. RNAcentral's name for it is "bacterial SSU rRNA". It matches the Rfam family "Bacterial small subunit ribosomal RNA", at positions 958 to 1393 of the family's 1533-position model. The record is from RNAcentral.